Molecule: long non-coding RNA, 1260 nt
Filed under: Homo sapiens (human)
Lineage: Eukaryota; Metazoa; Chordata; Mammalia; Primates; Hominidae
Description: HSALNT0302477
Source: RNAcentral
GCUAGGUGAGAGGCAGGAUCAGACAGGCAAUCAUCAACAACAUACUCUGAAUUUAAGAAUGACCACCACACAGUAAGAGAACUGGAAUUUGGAGGAAAACUUCAGCUCUGAGAACUUUCACACAGAAAACUAACAAAGAAAUUCUGGACUUAAACUUGACACUUGCCCAGUUGGUCUUAAUAGACAUCUAAAGAAUACUCCACCCAACAACUACAGAAUAUAUAUUCGUCUCAUCUGCAGACACAACAUACUUUAAAAAUGACUGCAUGUUUGGUCAGAGAGUCUCAACAAAUUUGGAAAAAUUAAAAUUAUACCCAACAUAUUCUCAGGUCGAAUGAAAUGCAAAUAGAAAUUACUGCCAAGAGGAAUUCUCAAAACCACACAAAUACGUGGAAAUUAAACACAUUGAUCCUGAAUGACCUUUGUAAAGCAAGAAAAUUAAGGCAAAAAUCAAAAAAUUAUUUGAAAAAAACAAAAAUUGUGACACAGUGUAACAAAACCUGUGAUAUUGCAAAAGAAGUGAUAAGAUUUGUAGCACUAAAUGCCUACAUCAAGAAAAUAGAAAUAUCUUGUUAACAACCUAACAUUACACCUAAAGAAAUAGAGAAAGAAGAACUAAAUUCUAAAUGAAGAACCCAGUUCUAGCAGAAGAAAAGAAAGAAUUAAAAUCAGAACAGAACUAAGUGAAAUUGAGAUAAAGAAAACUAUUCAAAGGAUCAACAAAAUGAAAAGUUUGUUUUUUGAAAGGAUAAACAAAAUUGAUAGACUGCUAGAUAAACAAAGGAAAAAAAGAAGAUCCAAAUAAGCACAAUCAGAUAUGACAAAGGUAACAUUACAACUGAUCUCGCAGAAAUAUAAAAGAUCCUCAGAGAUUACUAUGAACAUCUCUAUGCACACAACUAGAAAAUCUAGAGGAAAUAGAUAAAUUCCUGGAAAUAUACAACCUCCCAAGAUUGAAUCUGGAAGAAAAAGACACCCUAAAGAGACCAGUAAUGAGUUACAAAAUUGAAUAAGUAAUAAUAAAAAACUUACUAACCAGAAAAGCACCGGACCAGAUGGAUUUACAGCCAAAUUAUACCAGAUGUACAAAGAAGAUCCCAUCAAGAGGUGCAAAAACAAGCUAUGAUUUGCUGACACAUAUCUAUCAAAGGACUCACGUCUAGAAUAUAUAUUGCAGUGUAAAAUGAUGCAACAUUUCUGGAAAACAGGAGCUCUUCCACAAUUAUACAGUUGGAAUCACUCAUUCGAUUUUGUGGCCAG